GACGAACGCUGGCGGCGUGCUUAACACAUGCAAGUCGAACGGAAAGGCCCUGCUUUUGUGGGGUGCUCGAGUCGCGAACGGGUGAGUAACAUGUGAGUAACCUGCCCUUGACUUUGGGAUAACUUCAGGAAACUGGGGCUAAUACCGGAUAGGAGCUCCUGCUGCAUGGUGGGGGUUGGAAAGUUUCGGCGGUUGGGGAUGGACUCGCGGCUUAUCAGCUUGUUGGUGGGGUAGUGGCUUACCAAGGCUUUGACGGGUAGCCGGCCUGAGAGGGUGACCGGCCACAUUGGGACUGAGAUACGGCCCAGACUCCUACGGGAGGCAGCAGUGGGGAAUAUUGCACAAUGGGCGGAAGCCUGAUGCAGCAACGCCGCGUGCGGGAUGACGGCCUUCGGGUUGUAAACCGCUUUCGCCUGUGACGAAGCGUGAGUGACGGUAAUGGGUAAAGAAGCACCGGCUAACUACGUG
RNAcentral lists this ribosomal RNA (468 nucleotides) under uncultured bacterium. RNAcentral's name for it is "partial 16S ribosomal RNA". It matches the Rfam family "Bacterial small subunit ribosomal RNA", at positions 28 to 507 of the family's 1533-position model. The record is from RNAcentral.